This 31-nucleotide non-coding RNA is filed under the name Homo sapiens (human). Lineage: Eukaryota; Metazoa; Chordata; Mammalia; Primates; Hominidae. The record is from RNAcentral.
AGACCAGCCAGGUGUCUUCCCGGGCCCUGCC